GGGGCCAUGGGGUAGCUUGGUAUCCUUCCCGCUUUGGGAGCGGGCGACCGCAAUUCAAAUUUGCGUGGCCCCA
RNAcentral lists this transfer RNA (73 nucleotides) under Candidatus Woesearchaeota archaeon. Its description in RNAcentral is "tRNA-Pro". RNAcentral also lists the same sequence under 2 other names. Lineage: Archaea; Nanobdellati; Candidatus Woesearchaeota. The record is from RNAcentral.